GAUGAACGCUGGCGGCGUGCCUAAUACAUGCAAGUCGAGCGAACGGACGAGAAGCUUGCUUCUCUGAUGUUAGCGGCGGACGGGUGAGUAACACGUGGAUAACCUACCUAUAAGACUGGGAUAACUUCGGGAAACCGGAGCUAAUACCGGAUAAUAUUUUGAACCGCAUGGUUCAAAAGUGAAAGACGGUCUUGCUGUCACUUAUAGAUGGAUCCGCGCUGCAUUAGCUAGUUGGUAAGGUAACGGCUUACCAAGGCAACGAUGCAUAGCCGACCUGAGAGUGUGAUCGGCCACACUGGAACUGAGACACGGUCCAGACUCCUACGGGAGGCAGCAGUAGGGAAUCUUCCGCAAUGGGCGAAAGCCUGACGGAGCAACGCCGCGUGAGUGAUGAAGGUCUUCGGAUCGUAAAACUCUGUUAUUAGGGAAGAGCAUAUGUGUAAGUAACUGUGCACAUCUUGACGGUACCUAAUCAGAAAGCCACGGCUAACUACGUG
Molecule: ribosomal RNA, 497 nt
Filed under: uncultured bacterium
Lineage: Bacteria
Description: partial 16S ribosomal RNA
Rfam family: Bacterial small subunit ribosomal RNA
Source: RNAcentral